GUAUAGCUCACUUGUGGAAACAUCAAUCCGCGCAGACAAAUAGUGCGCUGUCCGCUUUAAGCUGUCAUCUAGCUGUAGUAGAUAUUUCUGCUUUCCGCUAGCGCACAAACAACAUGGCGGCCCUCAUGUGGAACACGUUACCGGACGAAAAAAAGGAAGAAAUUCUAUUAUUAAUUGAAAAUGAACCAAUCAUUUGGGAUAAGAGUAAUCCUGGGCAUAAAAAAGUUAUUGUUGUGGACGCUGCUUGGAGAAGAAUUGCGGAAAAAGUUGCAAUAGAUAGUAAGUAUAAUAUAUUAUUUAAUAACACGUGCUUUUUAUUUGUAGAACAAUGUACAGCUUAAUAAU
Molecule: long non-coding RNA, 345 nt
Filed under: Androctonus crassicauda
Lineage: Eukaryota; Metazoa; Arthropoda; Arachnida; Scorpiones; Buthidae
Source: RNAcentral